RNAcentral lists this ribosomal RNA (497 nucleotides) under uncultured bacterium. RNAcentral describes it as "partial 16S ribosomal RNA". It matches the Rfam family "Bacterial small subunit ribosomal RNA", at positions 28 to 507 of the family's 1533-position model. The record is from RNAcentral.
GAUGAACGCUGGCGGCGUGCCUAAUACAUGCAAGUCGAGCGAACAGACGAGGAGCUUGCUCCUCUGACGUUAGCGGCGGACGGGUGAGUAACACGUGGAUAACCUACCUAUAAGACUGGGAUAACUUCGGGAAACCGGAGCUAAUACCGGAUAAUAUAUUGAACCGCAUGGUUCAAUAGUGAAAGACGGUUUUGCUGUCACUUAUCGAUGGAUCCGCGCCGCUUUAGCUAGUUGGUAAGGUAACGGCUUAUCAAGGCAACGAUGCGUAGCCGAGCUGAGAGGGUGAUCGGCCACACGGGAACUGAGACACGGUCCAGACGCCUACGGGAGGCAGCAGUAGGGAAUCUUCCGCAAUGGGCGAAAGCCUGACGGAGCAACGCCGCGUGAGUGAUGAAGGUCUUCGGAUCGUAAAACUCUGUUAUUAGGGAAGAACAAAUGUGUAAGUAACUAUGCACGUCUUGACGGUACCUAAUCAGAAAGCCACGGCUAACUACGUG